GUACUCCUUGGCUGCAGAACAGAAAGCUUAUCUAUAUCCUUUAUCCACACCAAUCACCUUGUCUGUUGUUUGAACAUGGAAGACCAAUCCCAGCAUUUGCUUACCUGUCAAGAAGUGAUGGCAUUGGCUCUUUAAUAAACAAUACUGAAAGUGACCCAAACUCCCUGUACCACCACUGGAUGACCUUGGCAUUUCACAUGCAAAUAUCAGAAGGGAAACAACAGGAAGAUACAACAACCUCAGCAAAUUCAUUGAUUCCUGUCCACCCCCUCCCCACUUGGAAAACAAAAAUGAAAAACCAGGUAAUUUGUAAAGCGAAAAAGUGCCAAGUUUAUUGAAUGAAUUCUUCACAAUUUCACUUUCAAGCAAUGGACUACUUGCUGAUGGCAGAGUGGAAAUCAGAGCUAGAGCUUUUCUGUGAUAAUCCUGAAUAUACUAAAGAAGAGAUGACAUUAAGACCUACUACAUUCAGAUAAAAACACUGGCAUCUCAAUAAGCAGGUAGACACAAUGACUCCUGUCAAACGGUGCCAGUGGUAUCAUCUGUCUUCUGUUACAAUCAAGGCAAGAAGACUUGAUGUUCUCCUCAUUUAGACACAUGUAUUCUAUCGUGUUACAGAUGCAUCUGGG
RNAcentral lists this long non-coding RNA (629 nucleotides) under Crocodylus porosus (Australian saltwater crocodile). RNAcentral describes it as "lncRNA (ENSCPRG00005017548.1)". Lineage: Eukaryota; Metazoa; Chordata; Crocodylia; Crocodylidae. The record is from RNAcentral.